RNAcentral lists this ribosomal RNA (431 nucleotides) under uncultured bacterium. Its description in RNAcentral is "bacterial SSU rRNA". It matches the Rfam family "Bacterial small subunit ribosomal RNA", at positions 29 to 507 of the family's 1533-position model. The record is from RNAcentral.
AACGAACGCUGGCGGCAGGCCUAACACAUGCAAGUCGAGCGCGCCUUCGGGUGAGCGGCGGACGGGUUAGUAACGCGUGGGAACGUACCCUUCUCUACGGAAUAGCCUUUGGAAACGAAGAGUAAUACCGUAUACGCCCUUUGGGGGAAAGAUUUAUCGGAGAAGGAUCGGCCCGCGUUAGAUUAGAUAGUUGGUGGGGUAACGGCCUACCAAGUCUACGAUCUAUAGCUGGUUUGAGAGGAUGAUCAGCCACACUGGGACUGAGACACGGCCCAGACUCCUACGGGAGGCAGCAGUGGGGAAUCUUAGACAAUGGGGGCAACCCUGAUCUAUCCAUGCCGCGUGUGUGAUGAAGGCCCUAGGGUCGUAAAGCACUUUCGCCAGAGAUGAUAAUGACAGUAUCUGGUAAAGAAACCCCGGCUAACUCCGUA